RNAcentral lists this ribosomal RNA (719 nucleotides) under uncultured Bacilli bacterium. RNAcentral describes it as "bacterial SSU rRNA". It matches the Rfam family "Bacterial small subunit ribosomal RNA", at positions 48 to 748 of the family's 1533-position model. Lineage: Bacteria; Bacillati; Bacillota; Bacilli. The record is from RNAcentral.
CUAAUACAUGCAAGUCGAGCGGACCGACGGGAGCUUGCUCCCUUAGGUCAGCGGCGGACGGGUGAGUAACACGUGGGUAACCUGCCUGUAAGACUGGGAUAACUCCGGGAAACCGGGGCUAAUACCGGAUGCUUGAUUGAACCGCAUGGUUCAAUCAUAAAAGGUGGCUUUCAGCUACCACUUACAGAUGGACCCGCGGCGCAUUAGCUAGUUGGUGAGGUAACGGCUCACCAAGGCGACGAUGCGUAGCCGACCUGAGAGGGUGAUCGGCCACACUGGGACUGAGACACGGCCCAGACUCCUGCGGGAGGCAGCAGUAGGGAAUCUUCCGCAAUGGACGAAAGUCUGACGGAGCAACGCCGCGUGAGUGAUGAAGGUUUUCGGAUCGUAAAACUCUGUUGUUAGGGAAGAACAAGUACCGUUCGAAUAGGGCGGCACCUUGACGGUACCUAACCAGAAAGCCACGGCUAACUACGUGCCAGCAGCCGCGGUAAUACGUAGGUGGCAAGCGUUGUCCGGAAUUAUUGGGCGUAAAGCGCGCGCAGGCGGUUUCUUAAGUCUGAUGUGAAAGCCCCCGGCUCAACCGGGGAGGGUCAUUGGAAACUGGGGAACUUGAGUGCAGAAGAGGAGAGUGGAAUUCCACGUGUAGCGGUGAAAUGCGUAGAGACGUGGAGGAACACCAGUGGCGAAGGCGACUCUCUGGUCUGUAACUGACGCUG